UCGACGGAGAGUUUGAUCCUGGCUCAGGACGAACGCUGGCGGCGUGCCUAAUACAUGCAAGUCGAACGAGGCCGACCUUCGGGUCAUAUGGUCAAGUGGCGAACGGGUGAGUAACACGUGAGAAACCUGCCCCAAAGAUCGGGAUAACCCGGGGAAACCCGGACUAAUACCGAAUAUCCCCAUCGGAUCGCAUGGUCUGAUGAGGAAAUGCUUUUGUGCUUUGGGAGGGUCUCGCGGCCUAUCAGCUAGUUGGUGAGGUAACGGCUCACCAAGGCAUCGACGGGUAGCUGGUCUGAGAGGACGAUCAGCCACACUGGGACUGAGACACGGCCCAGACUCCUACGGGAGGCAGCAGUAGGGAAUCUUGCGCAAUGGGCGAAAGCCUGACGCAGCGACACCGUGUGAAGGAUGAAGGUCUUCGGAUCGUAAAGCUCUGUCAGCCUGGAUGAAAAAUUAUGCACUAACACUGUGUAAUUUUGACGGUACAGGCAGAGGAAGCCACGGCUAACUCCGUGCCAGCAGCCGCGGUAAUACGUAGGUGGCAAACGUUGUCCGAAAUUACUGGGCGUAAAGGGCGAGCAGGCGGUUUUAUAAGUCGGAUGUGAAAUCCUACGGCUCAACCGUAGAACUGCAUUCGAUACUGUAUGACUUGAGUACUGGAGAGGAAAGC
RNAcentral lists this ribosomal RNA (670 nucleotides) under Actinomycetes bacterium. RNAcentral's name for it is "bacterial SSU rRNA". It matches the Rfam family "Bacterial small subunit ribosomal RNA", at positions 1 to 662 of the family's 1533-position model. Lineage: Bacteria; Bacillati; Actinomycetota; Actinomycetes. The record is from RNAcentral.